RNAcentral lists this ribosomal RNA (772 nucleotides) under uncultured Neocallimastigales. RNAcentral's name for it is "partial large subunit ribosomal RNA". The stretch from base 1 to 662 matches the Rfam family "Eukaryotic large subunit ribosomal RNA", at positions 26 to 664 of the family's 3401-position model. Lineage: Eukaryota; Fungi; Neocallimastigomycota; Neocallimastigomycetes; Neocallimastigales. The record is from RNAcentral.
CGCAUCUGUGCAUGCAGCAUAUCAAUAAGCGGAGGAAAAGAAACUAACAAGGAUUCCCUCAGUAACGGCGAGUGAAGCGGGAAGAGCUCAAAUUUGAAAUCUUGAAAGGUCACCUUUCACGAAUUGUAGUUUAAAGAAGUGUUUUCUGUUACGAUCGUAAUAUAAGUUCUUUGGAAUAGGACAUCACAGAGGGUGAGAAUCCCGUCUAUGAUUGCGAUUUGUAGCUUUGUGAUACACUUUCAAAGAGUCGGGUUGUUUGGGAAUGCAGCCCAAAACGGGAGGUAAAUUUCUUCUAAGGCUAAAUAUUGGCGAGAGACCGAUAGCGAACAAGUACCGUGAGGGAAAGAUGAAAAGAACUUUGAAAAGAGAGUUAAAUAGUACGUGAAAUUGUCAAAAGGGAAGCGUUUAACACCAGUGUUGUUUUCUGAAAAUCAACCUCUGUUAGCUUUAUGCAUGUUUGUUUAGACCUAAUCAGCUAUCUUUCAUGUUCUAUUGUUUGCAGUGGUGCACUUUUCAGUUUACAGGUCAACAUCAGUUUUUUUUACCGUAAAAAAGUUAAAGAAAGGUAGCUCAUGGCUCCGGUCGUGAGUGUUAUAGUCUUUUUCCUAUGCGGUAGGGAGAGACUGAGGUCUGCAGUGUAGGCUAUUUGGCUAGAUACUCAGGUGCUAUGUGAUACCAUUUCAUAAACAACUUGUUGAUUAUGUUUUGUCUAUUGCAUACUCGCUUGUACUAUCAUACCUACGCUUAGGAUGUUGACGAUCAGCUGAGCGCG